UAGCAGAGGGAGCAGUAUCUCUCUGGAUAGAGAUUGUAUUUCUCUCAAGCUGUCACUGGUUGUGAGAAGGGGUGAGCUGAGUUUUAGUCUUAAAAUAACUUUGCUAUGAAUCUUAAUACAAGUUUCUAUGCCAGAGUUGUGGCCUUGAAUAAAGAGCCAGAGAGGGGAACCUUGGCUGCAAGAGGUUUGUUAGACUGACAUGAAGCCCUUCAGGAAACACAUGAAGAUGGAUGAGACCUACUGAAACUUCUUCCGCGUUCUCUUUCCUCUGGAAGUCUUACCAGUGUAUAUCACUGCCUGAUUGUGGUAACUCAUCUGUCUGCAUUGAAUGCAUUUUCAAAAACAUAACGCUUUUCCAUUGCCAGUAAUAGUAACAGAUCUGCUCUGAUGCUAGAGUAUCAGCAAGUGAAAAGUGAAGAAAACUUCUCUACUAAAACUUUUAAUGUGAUAGAAAAUGUUGGCAUGACCUCUGCUGACAGAAAAGAAGUUCUCCUCAACAGUUUUUAAGAUGCAGAGCAAUGAGAGUUCAGCUAAAAAGCUAUAUAUGCAGAAGCGCCUCUCAAUUACUCAUGUUGACACAGCGUUGGUUUCAGGAAUUUCUGAAAAUUUUAAGAUUACUGAAGAACCUGAAGCACAGAUUUUAAACUAUAAUUUAGAGAUACCACCUCAAGCCCAAGUCAUAUCAGUACCACUUUCUUGUUUCUCACCUAUAAUGCAGCAGCUGAUAUCUACCAGAAUUAAACGUGUCCCUGAAGUAAGGGAGGCUACAGAAAUACCAACUGUUACUUAUAUUUGGCCAGUAUUAAAGAUAGGAGAGGCUUGCAAACACUCCUGGGACAGACUUCCAAAUUCCUUAAUACCAAACAGCCCAAACUUAUCAAGGUACUGCUCUAGUCCUGAUGUAGUAACUGAAGAUGUAAUGUGUUCCCAAGUAACCCCAGCGAAACAGCUUGCACAAGAAGAGCAAGGCAGCAAGACAACAAAAUCAUAUUCUCUUAUUUUGAAGUCUUCCAACACUGUUGUUUCAGGAAUUCUAAGAUCAUUGGCUAAUACUGAGAAUAAGGAUUAUAAAAAUAUUUUGCCACUUUCAUCUAUUAGCUCUAUUGGAAAGAAAGUGAAAAUUCCAUUUAAGGAAAAUGCUAUGAUAAUACAUAAUGGAGAAGUCUACAUCCCUUACGUAACAAGACAUGAAACUUUGUCAACAGAAAUGGAAAUACAGAAUCAAGAUACGUUGCUCAGGAAGAUCACAGUUUCUUUCAUUACUUGCAAAACUAUCCGCGAAAGGACAGGACAGUUCCUCAAGAAGGCUGCUUUCCCAUCCAAAGAACUGCAAAAUAGAAAUGAGAGAGAAGCACAACAGAAAGUAGACAAAGAAGUAAGAAAUAAAUUUGGUGUUGUUAAAGAUAUAAGAAUACAUCUCAAGAGGAUAAAUCCCAGUGAACUUAAAGAAGAUUUUGGCAAAGCUUAUACAUUUAAAUGGAAGUUCCCCAAGAAGACUGCUUCUCCAUCCAAAGAAUCGCAAAGGAGAAUUGAGAGAGUAGCACAACAGAAAGAAGACAAUGAACUAAGAAGGAAAUUUGGUAUCAUUAAAGAUAUAAGAAUCCAUCUCAAGAGUCUGUAGCACUCAAGUCACGUUUUGUCAACUGAAUCUUAAACCAAUGUCUACCGCUCCUUCCAAGAUCUUUGAGAAAGACCUACUUUUAUUGUCCCGGGGUGGAAACAACAUUGGUGUACACUCAACAUUCAUGAAAAAUGUGCCAUAACUGUUUUGUGAGAUAUUUCAAAGCCAGAUAAAGCAAUACUUUCCAGAGUAUGUUAACAGAGCACAGGUAUUAAUUACUUUUCUUUUUUUCCUUUCUUCCAGUACCAAAAUAAAACAUCUGGUGUAAAAAAAAAAUAAUAAUAAUUGUGCUUGCUGUCAUUUUUCUCAUUUUCUUUCCCCAGUAAAUAUGCCAAGGCAGGUUCUUAGUUUUGACAGUGUUUCUCCAUCUAUCCACAUUUUCAUUUCUCAACAAGCGUCCCAAAAAUCAAGUACAAUCAAAUACUUAAUGAAAUACUUCAUGUUUAUUCUAGAGCUGUUUUACACAGAUGCUUCCACUUGCCUGUCUGAUAUUGAGAACUUUUCAGAUACCAAGUGUUAUGAGAAGUUCUCAUUAACUUUAAUUAUUACUGUCACUACCUUUUCACUAUUUUCUACAGCCAUAUCCUUCUCUUUGUAGAUUAUAUUCAAUUUGUUGCUUUGUCAUUUCUUCAGACUUUGCUCAUUGUAAUUAGAAUUAUUCAAGUAAUAAAAAGAUGUUUUACC
This is a long non-coding RNA of Gallus gallus (chicken), 2305 nucleotides long. NCBI's taxonomy places the organism in Eukaryota, Metazoa, Chordata, Aves, Galliformes, Phasianidae. The record is from Ensembl.